GCAGACCAGAGGAACUUGGAAACCUCACUUCCCUCACAAAUUUACAGCUUGGUGAAAAUCACUUGAUAAUUUGUUAUUUGGCACUAUCCCAUCUGUCUUCUUCGACGACGACGAUGUAGGAGGCACUAGUUGGGCUGGGCUAUCCUGUUGGCUAUUCCAGUGGUUACUGGAAUUAUUGCCACCAGGAAGUUCACACAUCGGUAGUUAUGAUACAUCGGAGAGAGAUUUAAAUGGUGCACACCCGAAGUCCUCAUAAUUGGUAAAGCCUCAAAUUUGUGUUUGUCAAUAUAUUGGUGAGUUGGCUAUUAUUUUAUCAGGGUGGUUUUCUUUGUUUUUCUUAAAUGAUAUGUGUUGUACGUGUCCAAGAUUUGCACUGUUUACUAGGUGCAUCAAUUAUGAUCUCUUGGAAGAAAUUAUUUUUUAUUCAAUUUGUAAGAGUAAAUUAAUUAGGAAUAACAAGCUACAUUGCUUAGAUAUGGUGUGUAAGAAGUACUACAUGGUCAUCCAUGGCUUUAACUGCAGCUUUAUGACAAAGGACAAUUUCUACCUUGCAUCCCUCUUUGUUGAAUGUACGUAUCAUGGGAUGGAAUCUGAAAAAAAAGAAUAAUGUUGAGUUUUAUGAUCUGUUGCAGUUAGAAUUAGCUAGUUGAUUAGAGCUGAUGUUAUUUUAGUUACUGAUACUAGUAUUAUAUUAACUUGAAUGCUCAUGCCCCGACCGGCUUAGAUCCUUCUGUGCGAGCUGAAAUACGAGAGGAAUUGCGCCAAGAAUUGCGGGAAGAAUUACGACAAGAAAUGAGUCAGGAACUCGAUGCUGAUCGUGAGCAAAGAACAAAGUUGGAAAAUGAUGAUGCAAGAGAUGAUGAAGCAGUUCAUGACGACGUUCCACCCGUCCAGCCACGCUCCUGACGGUUCUGUGGGGAUAUGACCCAUGUAUCACAAACUUGAUACCUUGUCUUUUCUUUUGAACAUCAUACAUUUCAUACUUU
Long non-coding RNA from Salvia splendens (bonfire salvia), 986 nucleotides. RefSeq lists it as uncharacterized. The transcript has 3 exons. The record is from RefSeq and is a predicted model, not a curated record. NCBI's taxonomy places the organism in Eukaryota, Viridiplantae, Streptophyta, Magnoliopsida, Lamiales, Lamiaceae.